GCAGUCGUGGCCGAGUGGUUAAGGCGAUGAACUAGAAAUCCAUUGGGGUCUCCCCGCACAGGUUCGAAUCCUGUGGACCGCG
Molecule: transfer RNA, 82 nt
Filed under: Ixodes scapularis (black-legged tick)
Lineage: Eukaryota; Metazoa; Arthropoda; Arachnida; Ixodida; Ixodidae
Rfam family: tRNA
About the family: Transfer RNA (tRNA) molecules are approximately 80 nucleotides in length. Their secondary structure includes four short double-helical elements and three loops (D, anti-codon, and T loops).
Source: Rfam by way of RNAcentral